CAACUCAAUACAUUCAUGAGAAGGACAAUCUUCAUGAAUCGAGUAUUUCUGUUGAGCCUGAUCCCGAUGAUAGCAACCUCAAAUAUGAAUCUGAUCCUGGUAGCAUCAUGGUGAAAUAUGAACCUGAUCCUGAUGACAGCAUCACAAAAGAUGAACCUGAUCCUGAUGACAGCAUCAUGAAAGUUGAACCUGAUCCUUAUGACAGCAUCAUGAAAGAUGAGCCUGAACCUGAUGACAGCAUUGUGAAAGAUGAACCUGAUCCUGAUGACAGGAUUACGAAAGAUAAACCCGAAUCUGAUGAUAGCAUCAUGAAAGAUGAUCCUGAUGACAGUAUUACAAAAGAUGGACCAGAUCCUGACACCAUCAUAAAAGAUGAACCUGAUCUUGAUAAAAGUAUUGCGAAAGAUGAACCCGAUCCUGAUGACAACAUCUUGAAAGAUGAACCUGAUCCUGAUCCUGAUGAAAGUAUCACGAAAGAUGAACCCGAUCCUCGUGAAUCUAUCACGAAAGAUGAACCCGAUCCUCGUGAAUCUUUGGGGAAAAUGGUAGAUUAUCUUAAGCAUGGAAGCUAUAAUGCUGAAACUAUCCGUGGUAAAUCGCUUCUAACAGUGGACGAUGUUAUGCAUGUUGAUUAUUAUGCACAUUCCGAAUCAUUGU
Molecule: long non-coding RNA, 657 nt
Filed under: Zostera marina
Lineage: Eukaryota; Viridiplantae; Streptophyta; Magnoliopsida; Alismatales; Zosteraceae
Description: long non-coding RNA (ZMAR_LNC003639)
Source: RNAcentral